UACGUAGGGACCGAGCGUUGUCCGGAAUCAUUGGGCGUAAAGAGCGUGUAGGCGGCCCCUUAAGUCCUGCGUGAAAUCCUGCGGCUCAACCGCAGACGGUCGUGGGAAACUGGAGGGCUAGAGUGCAGAAGAGAAAAGCGGAAUUCCACGUGUAGCGGUGAAAUGCGUAGAGAUGUGGAGGAACACCAGUGGCGAAGGCGGCUUUUUGGUCUGUAACUGACGCUGAGGCGCGAAAGCGUGGGGAGCAAACAGG
RNAcentral lists this ribosomal RNA (253 nucleotides) under uncultured bacterium. Its description in RNAcentral is "partial 16S ribosomal RNA". It matches the Rfam family "Bacterial small subunit ribosomal RNA", at positions 524 to 776 of the family's 1533-position model. The record is from RNAcentral.